This 1443-nucleotide ribosomal RNA is filed under the name uncultured organism. Its description in RNAcentral is "16S ribosomal RNA". It matches the Rfam family "Bacterial small subunit ribosomal RNA". The record is from RNAcentral.
CAGGCUUAACACAUGCAAGUCGAGGGGCAGCAUGGUCUUAGCUUGCUAAGGCCGAUGGCGACCGGCGCACGGGUGAGUAACACGUAUCCAACCUGCCGUCUACUCUUGGACAGCCUUCUGAAAGGAAGAUUAAUACAAGAUGGCAUCAUGAGUCCGCAUGUUCACAUGAUUAAAGGUAUUCCGGUAGACGAUGGGGAUGCGUUCCAUUAGAUAGUAGGCGGGGUAACGGCCCACCUAGUCUUCGAUGGAUAGGGGUUCUGAGAGGAAGGUCCCCCACAUUGGAACUGAGACACGGUCCAAACUCCUACGGGAGGCAGCAGUGAGGAAUAUUGGUCAAUGGGCGAGAGCCUGAACCAGCCAAGUAGCGUGAAGGAUGACUGCCCUAUGGGUUGUAAACUUCUUUUAUAAAGGAAUAAAGUCGGGUAUGGAUACCCGUUUGCAUGUACUUUAUGAAUAAGGAUCGGCUAACUCCGUGCCAGCAGCCGCGGUAAUACGGAGGAUCCGAGCGUUAUCCGGAUUUAUUGGGUUUAAAGGGAGCGUAGAUGGAUGUUUAAGUCAGUUGUGAAAGUUUGCGGCUCAACCGUAAAAUUGCAGUUGAUACUGGAUAUCUUGAGUGCAGUUGAGGCAGGCGGAAUUCGUGGUGUAGCGGUGAAAUGCUUAGAUAUCACGAGGAACUCCGAUUGCGAAGGCAGCCUGCUAAGCUGCAACUGACAUUGAGGCUCGAAAGUGUGGGUAUCAAACAGGAUUAGAUACCCUGGUAGUCCACACGGUAAACGAUGAAUACUCGCUGUUUGCGAUAUACAGCAAGCGGCCAAGCGAAAGCGUUAAGUAUUCCACCUGGGGAGUACGCCGGCAACGGUGAAACUCAAAGGAAUUGACGGGGGCCCGCACAAGCGGAGGAACAUGUGGUUUAAUUCGAUGAUACGCGAGGAACCUUACCCGGGCUUAAAUUGCAGAUGAAUUACGGUGAAAGCCGUAAGCCGCAAGGCAUCUGUGAAGGUGCUGCAUGGUUGUCGUCAGCUCGUGCCGUGAGGUGUCGGCUUAAGUGCCAUAACGAGCGCAACCCUUGUUGUCAGUUACUAACAGGUUCCGCUGAGGACUCUGACAAGACUGCCAUCGUAAGAUGUGAGGAAGGUGGGGAUGACGUCAAAUCAGCACGGCCCUUACGUCCGGGGCUACACACGUGUUACAAUGGGGGGUACAGAGGGCCGCUACCACGCGAGUGGAUGCCAAUCCCCAAAACCUCUCUCAGUUCGGACUGGAGUCUGCAACCCGACUCCACGAAGCUGGAUUCGCUAGUAAUCGCGCAUCAGCCACGGCGCGGUGAAUACGUUCCCGGGCCUUGUACACACCGCCCGUCAAGCCAUGGGAGCCGGGGGUACCUGAAGUGCGUAACCGCGAGGAGCGCCCUAGGGUAAAACUGGUGACUGGGGCUAAGUCGUA